GAUCAUGGCUCAGAUUGAACGCUGGCGGCAGGCUUAACACAUGCAAGUCGAACGGUAACAUAAAGAAGCUUGCUUCUUUGAUGACGAGUGGCGGACGGGUGAGUAAUGCUUGGGAAUCUAACUUAUGGAGGGGGGUAACUACGGGAAACUGUAGCUAAUACCGCGUAGAAUCGAGAGAUGAAAGUGUGGGACCUUCGGGCCACAUGCCAUAGGAUGAGCCCAAGUGGGAUUAGGUAGUUGGUG
This 243-nucleotide ribosomal RNA is filed under the name uncultured bacterium. Its description in RNAcentral is "partial 16S ribosomal RNA". It matches the Rfam family "Bacterial small subunit ribosomal RNA", at positions 15 to 254 of the family's 1533-position model. The record is from RNAcentral.